This 93-nucleotide non-coding RNA is filed under the name unclassified sequences. RNAcentral describes it as "PhotoRC-II RNA". It matches the Rfam family "PhotoRC-II RNA". The record is from RNAcentral.
UAUCAAUAUUUGCUCCCGCUAACCAAGACCUAUGGGAGGAUAAAUUACGUCUUUUUACCUGCAAGUGAGGGAUUUGCAGGAAUAAGUUUCGCU